CGAACGCUGGCGGCAGGCCUAACACAUGCAAGUCGAACGGACCCUUCGGGGUUAGUGGCGGACGGGUGAGUAACACGUGGGAACGUGCCUUUAGGUUCGGAAUAGCUCCUGGAAACGGGUGGUAAUGCCGAAUGUGCCCUUCGGGGAAGAUUUAUCGCCUUUAGAGCGGCCCGCGUCUGAUUAGCUAGUUGGUGGGGCGAAUGGCCCACCAAGGCUACGAUCAGUAGCUGGUCUGAGAGGAUGACCAGCCACAUUGGGACUGAGACACGGCCCAAACUCCUACGGGAGGCAGCAGUGGGGAAUCUUGCGCAAUGGGCGAAAGCCUGACGCAGCCAUGCCGCGUGUAUGAUGAAGGUCUUAGGAUUGUAAAAUACUUUCACCGGUGAAGAUAAUGACUGUAGCCGGAGAAGAAGCCCCGGCUAACUUCGUGCCAGCAG
This 437-nucleotide ribosomal RNA is filed under the name uncultured bacterium. Its description in RNAcentral is "bacterial SSU rRNA". It matches the Rfam family "Bacterial small subunit ribosomal RNA", at positions 30 to 514 of the family's 1533-position model. The record is from RNAcentral.